Molecule: ribosomal RNA, 211 nt
Filed under: uncultured Acetobacter sp.
Lineage: Bacteria; Pseudomonadati; Pseudomonadota; Alphaproteobacteria; Acetobacterales; Acetobacteraceae
Description: partial 16S ribosomal RNA
Rfam family: Bacterial small subunit ribosomal RNA
Source: RNAcentral
GUCAGCUCGUGUCGUGAGAUGUUGGGUUAAGUCCCGCAACGAGCGCAACCCCUAUCUUUAGUUGCCAUCAGGUUGGGCUGGGCACUCUAGAGAGACUGCCGGUGACAAGCCGGAGGAAGGUGGGGAUGACGUCAAGUCCUCAUGGCCCUUAUGUCCUGGGCUACACACGUGCUACAAWGGCGGUGACAGUGGGAAGCUAGGUGGUGACACC